RNAcentral lists this long non-coding RNA (202 nucleotides) under Gossypium raimondii (Peruvian cotton). RNAcentral's name for it is "long non-coding RNA (GRAI_LNC004708)". The record is from RNAcentral. Lineage: Eukaryota; Viridiplantae; Streptophyta; Magnoliopsida; Malvales; Malvaceae.
GCCCUUCCUCUUUUUCUUUAUUUCUCUUCUCUUUUGUUUUCUCUUUUUUAUUUUAUUUUGAAAACCGCAUCUACCACCUUCGUUUAAAAUCCUUUUUGCCUCCAAUUUUUCCUCUCUCUUGGUCGAAUUAUCUUGAUCGCUUGGUUCCGAUUUAGUUCCCAAUUGCGAUAAGUUGGUAAGUGAGAUUUCUUUUAUUGGUUAG